UGGAAAGGUGAUGGAGAGGAUUGCAUAAAAUCAAAGGCAGGAAAACAAACGAUAGAAUGUGGCCUGAAAAUAGGAUGAGCUUCUGGAAAUUACAGUAUAAUGAGAGAAAUCACAGUUAAGACUUGCAAUUUUAAGUUUGGGGUAAUCUGCCACUUUAAAAUGGUUCAAAUGAGGUCCAUCACAAUACAUCCGAGAGCUAAUGAAGGAAAGGCGCCGUCUUUCUCAAGUAUAUUAAAUUGUUG
This is a long non-coding RNA of Syngnathus acus (greater pipefish), 242 nucleotides long. RefSeq lists it as uncharacterized. The record is from RefSeq and is a predicted model, not a curated record. Lineage: Eukaryota; Metazoa; Chordata; Actinopteri; Syngnathiformes; Syngnathidae. The transcript has 2 exons.